UAUCUUUAUGAAAUAUAUUGUAUUUUCCUUUAUUGACUAUAUCGACGAAUAAUGUAAUAUGUACAAAAGUAUUUUACUGAAUCUCCUUUUCUGUUUUCCUGAUUUUUAUAUGAUUUUAAUGUUAUGUUGUAACUUAUUUUUAGAUCCUCAUAUUGCUGCUGUUUUUAAAACUUUACUCGACAGGCAAGAAGAAUUAAAUGGUAAAGUCGAUCAUAUUAUUUUGAUGCUUUAUAAUCUAUCGCAAGUUAGCUCCUGAAGAAGAAAAAACUAUUAAACCGAGGAAUUUCCCUGCACUUCCUUUAAACAUUAAAGAUUCUUUUCUAGAAUUUGAAGCAUAUCUUAAAUCUGAUGAUAAUUUUUAUCCUACAGUAAAUUAUUUUGUUAAACUAAUGAAAAUAGAUGAACAAACUGAUGAGAAAACAGCUGUUGGCCGUUUGUUACCCAAAAUUACGUCUAAUUCGUUAGCACGCAUGAUGAAUUAUACAGGAUCAAGUGUUAAGCUUAAAUUGGAAAAUACAAAAAUUUAUGAGGCAAUCAACUGUGCUGUUUUGAAUACAUUCCCAGAAAGCAACUUAACUAAAACAGAAAAAAAAAUAUCACGCUAGUUGUACACUAGCAAUCAGCGGAAACUUUAAUAUAAAAGUUAAUAUUUAGUUUUGUUCUCUAUAAAAUAUA
This is a long non-coding RNA of Harpegnathos saltator (Jerdon's jumping ant), 675 nucleotides long. RefSeq lists it as uncharacterized. Lineage: Eukaryota; Metazoa; Arthropoda; Insecta; Hymenoptera; Formicidae. The record is from RefSeq and is a predicted model, not a curated record. The transcript has 3 exons.